GGCACGCAGGGCUCGGCGCGGCGGCGGGAGAGCUCCGCGGGCAGGGGCACUCGGAGGCGGCGGCUCCCUGGCGAUGGCUCCCUGCAGCUCGCCGCCUCUCCCGGGGGAAGCCGGGCGGCCUCUGCGUGAGCGCCGCGGGUUAGAUUUCUAGACACUUCCAAGUUUCUACACUCUCAAGGAGCAGAAACUCACUUCUCCUACGAACUGAGACUUCUGUGUUGUCACAGCUCCUGCAAGCCGAGCAGCUCCGGAGACCCCCGGUGAGCUGCCCCAGGAAAGCCACUCCGGCCGCUUUUGUCCCAGCCCACACCACUGUCCUGACCCCGAAUCAGCGCAUCUCCCUGCCGAGAAGCUCUUCCUGAUCUCCAGCCUCAUUUUCUUAGUUUAACCCUGGGAGGAGGUUCACUUAGCAUCAGCCUGGGCACGGCUCCUCAUCCUCCAGGUGACCACAGGCAGACACCGCACGCUGCCUCAAUGCCUGGCAGGUCUGGCUGUGCACACAGGGACAUCUAUACCAUCCCCCAAGCUCCUCGCUCUGGCAGUGCCGCCGCUGCUCCUUCCUGUGCCCUUCCUGUGACACUGGGGGCCGAGGAAGGAGCAUAUCCCUGCCCCUAGGAAGGGCUCUCUCUGGAUGCCCACCAGAGACAUCUCUAUGCCAGCCCCUUCUUCUGGUCCAAGGGCAAAGUGAUGAUCCAGGCAAUUAUCUCCUCUCAUCAGGGAAUGACCGCUCACAUUUUUUGAGAGAAACCUCAGGCAGCUGGAAGCACGUGUGCCCCCAGCUGAGCACUAAAUAUGAUUGUAUUGAUGGCAGUGCAGUGAUUCCCUGCAACCUGGGCUUACCUUCCCUCUUGAGAAACCCCACAUCAGCCUAGCCCUGGAACUGGCCAUCAUGACCCCCUCCUUCCCUGCUUCCUCCCUCCUGUACCAAGGCAAAGGCCAGCAGGACAGCAGGGCUUCCUUUUGGAGCAUCCUAAAAAGAUGUCUGCUGCCAGACAUCCUGGACAGUCCCUGCUGGUCCCAGCCAGACCCAGAUGUGAUGAGCACUAGAUGCUUGCGGCUGGAGCGGCUGCAUUAUAACCACAGUCACUUGAGUCAGCUGAAGGUUUAAUCCCUCUGGCCUGGCCUCCACUGCACGGCUGUUUUGCACCACGAACACCCUGACAGCUGGCUGUCAUCAAGGCUGCCUGAGCCCCGAGUAACACCACGCUGGGCUCCGGUGGCUGCCUCUCCUGCCAGUUUUCCUACUGGCCUCCAGCUCCAGAGCAGUGAUGGCUUCACUGCCACCUGUAUGCCACAGUGGGUGAGGGCAGCGAGGGGCCCACGGCCACACAGGAGCCAAAAUCAGGACUUUGGUGAAUGUAGCAGGAUGGAAGCAGGGAGGGAGAGUUGCUCUGCAGAGUGCCUGACCUUCCUGGGACAUAUGUGAAGGAUGUAUGUAGUGUUGGCUGUGCAAUGUCCAGCUCCUCAGGGAACGCAGGCAGCAUGGGGGCCCAGCAGGCAGAGUGUCCCAUGGAACAUUGCAUCAAUGCUCACAUUUGUGGGAUGUCUUUUUCAAAGACUCUGCUAUGGAGCCAUCAAGCACCUCCCUUCACGCAGUGGAUGGCCUCCCUCACCGACAGCGGAUACGGACAGUCCUGUGGUCUCUGCUGGUCAAAGCCCGGACACUGGUCUGUAACAUCCAGCGAACAGCAGUGCCCACCUGCCUCCCCUGUAGUGUGCUGCCAGCUGGCCAGGAGAGGAAGGUUCUGGCUCUGAGAUCUGCCCCUUGUGUGAGCACUUCCAGGUCCAGAAAUGUAGAGACCUAACGGUGUUUGCAGAUGCAGCCAAAGAACCAGUCUCUGUCCCCUCUCUAACCUGCCAAGCCCCAGAAAACAGCAGAUAUUUGGAGCAGUUUCCUCUCACUUGAGCCUUAUGUACUUUAUUAACAGCCUGACAAAGACAGGAAAAAUAGCUUGAAAGUCACACUCCGCUGACUCUGUUAACAGCACUGUCUGCCGAGUGGGUUUCAAAGGUCCAGCCCAAACCUAAGUACUCUUCCACAAAGGUGUAGAAACUGCUGUCAGUUAACUCAUUUUUGCAUUAGGAAAUUGGACAACAAAUACACAAGUUUAUUUCAGCAUUUCAAAAACCUCCCUCAUGCCCAAAACUGAAGCCCUCAUAAUUGCCUUCUGAAGGCCUCUUUUUAUAUAUUUGAAGUCUUCCUACCCUUCUGACUUCCCUCACUGAAAGCCAGAUAAAACUCUGAACUCUAUAAAGUUAGUAUCUUGUCUGUACAUUAUUUACAAGCAGAACUGGGCCUGUCAUAGAAAGGACAGAUUCAAGUGCAGGAUGAUUUUCAUUGGCAAGGCAAGUAACAUGGAUUUUUUUUUUUUUUCUCCUCAAAAGGUUCCUAAUCCUGCAGGAGUUGUAAUAUUUCUUUUUUCAUUAGGAAGAAAGUGUUGGUAUCAAGUGCCCCUUCUCAUAUUUCCUACCUGUGUUUGGAGAAAUAAAUCAUGAAUGCUUUUGCUUCCAAAUGAUUAACUGUUUAAAUAAAGCACUGUCAUGUUGCUCCUCUUUUAACAUUGGUGCUGUGAAUUAACCUGGAGACACUGCAGCGAGCCUUUAACCCCCUCUGCCUCAGCAUAACAUGCAUGAUGGUCUCACUCUGGUUCUCUGCACGUGGCUUGUCCCUUGCUGCUUUUGCACUGUGAGGAAAACUGGAGCUUUCUUCCAUGUCUUGCUGUUUACAUUGCUAGGCACACGCCUGCAAAAAUAUUUUCCACUUACUUUAUUUUAAGGCUCUUUCUUUGGCAUUUUCAGUCACACCCUGGAGACACACCUGAAAGGAAAGAAAACAGUACCUGGAUGUUAGCUUGUGCAAUGCUUGUCAUUAAACCGUGCAUAAUGACAAAAACCCCUCCUGCCAUUUGUUAAGAUUUUCCCCACAGCAUUACGUAUCUCUUAAUUAAGAGCAGAAGCUAAGUAAUACCUAUUUUAUUACCUCUUGCGUCCAAUUAAUCACCCAUUGAUCAUUACCCAUUCAACAUCAGACAAUUAACAGAGCCCCCAUUCUCUGCAGGACAGGGAUGUGUAGUCCUUCAGAAAUGACAUGUCCAGAAUAACUUGAGGGGAGCUGUGUGGAUGAGUAAUGGGCAAGAGGUGGGGGGGAGGGGAGGAAAAGGCCACCCAAGUGGAACAAAAGACAUGUAGCAUAUGCAAAUGUUCAAUAUGUGGUAUGUGUUUUAUACACUGGAUGUAUGUGAGGUCAUGGACAAAGCUCAGCUGGCGGCCGCACUGCUUUUGGGAGGCAUGGGAAUUUGAGGGAAAGCUUGAGCUCUCGUGUGAUCAAAUGUACCUAGUUCUCUCUCUUUAAAACAGCAAGCUGUUCUCCAUGUGGCUCAUUGCCUUUGUUUUUUUAGGAGGGCAGGAUUUAGCCUCUGCUUCUCCAUUGUCACUGGGACUAUGGGCUGUAGCACACAGCCCCAGCCAGCUCAUCCCAGGGCCUGUCAGCAGCUCCCCGCAGUUGUGCCUGAGCUGCUGCCGACAGAGCAGGCAGCUCUGGGUGUCCAAGGGCCUCCAGGGAAGCUGCAGGCUCCUUCUCCACUGCCACUCUCUCCUGGAAGCCUGUCCCAGGGAGAGUGAUGGCCCAGGCCCUGUGUGGUGCCAGGAGGGGUGUGCUGGGACCCCUGCAGGCCUUUCCCAACACCAGGGACCCUUCCUCUAUGACUAGCAUCUUCUAGCUGGGGAAAUCCAGCAACCUGUGGGAUUGAGGCAGCCCAGAGCCUGAACUGCAGCAGUGAAUAAAGCACAGGGAAUGCCAGGGCUCACAGACAGGCCUCUGGCAUGAGGCUGAGCUCCAACAGUCACAAAGCAGCCCUGCAUUCUUUUUUCUUUUUCCAGAUUAGAAUUCAUCCAUUACAGGGCUCAGGAAUUUAGUGUGAAGCUGUGACAAUAGAUAGCUGAGCAAACUUCACAAGGCUCUGGGUGCAGGAGCUCAGCAACAAAUGCUUGUGCACAAAAAGCAAACCAGAGCCCUUGGCAAGCUCUAGCCUGGCUGUAGGGGAGGAAGGAUAAUCUCAUUUCUUUACUCUUUGCCCUUUUAGCUAUUCACAGAGCUUAAUGCUGAGUUAUUCCCAACAAUGAGCCAAACAAUCAAACUUCCAUCUGGCUUGGUCGGGCAGAACCAACACUUGCUUCGCAGUCACAGGCCACACCAAUGCUGGGAUUUUUUCCCCCUCUUGAACAUACACUGUUUUCCUCUGUGCUGUAAGAGAAGAUAUUUACAUUUGGAAGCAGAAACCGCAGUUCAUGCUCCUCAGCCUGCUCUAAUCUCAUUGCCCAAAUCCCUGGGCACAGGGAGGCACAGGCGCUGUGAGCACAGCUGCUGCUGCAAACACAGCUGCUGCUGCAACCUUUGGCUCUGCCUCUCCACCACACGAUGCAGUGCCUACCAGCUAGCGACCUGCUUUUCCUGGGAGGGCAGCACUCCUGCACACUGCCGCCGCAGGCUCCAAACUGCAGCCGUGCCCUUGGGAGAAAUGUUUUCUCUCCCCAUCUCUAAAAUCAGCUGCAGGCUGCUCUUUGCAGUAGCCAGAGACCCACAGCAUCUCUGGGCUGUAGAAGCAGUGCUUGCUGCUACCACCUCUCCUGGUUUGGGAAUAGGGAUUGUAACAGAUCAUAUAGCGGGAUCAGCAGGGGAAAAAAAAUAAAAAGGAAAACAAGAAGAAGAAAAAAGAGCAGCUCUUUUGUUGUUAACAACAUUUUGUGCUCUAAUCUACUCAUGUCCCAGUUUUUCAUUUUUGUUAAGCAUUCAGCUAAAGGGGAGGAAUACAAGGAGACUGAUGUUUGUGUUGAUGUUUUUACGUGUGAAUUUCCUUUUGAGUUACAGAUUACUGUACACACACAUAAGAACAGGCUCUGUAAUAGAAGUAAAGAGAAAAUAUCUUACAGACUUAAGAGAAGCCAGCCUUUCCCCUCUAACAUUCCAAAUGAAUCUCUGCAGCCUAGUUUUAGCUGUCAGAAGUUCUCCUGAGAAAUUUAGAAGCACUGAGUGGGAGACAUGAGCACCCUACUCAUGUGGCAAUCCCAGCAAGGGCCCUCUUUUCUGUGGAAAGGACACGGGUUCUGCUUCGGUCUGUGCUGGUUUAGUCUGAAAAUAAAGUGCCCCUUUCUUCAGUUAAAAUGGCAGGGAAUGCUGCUCCAGUUGACAGGAGUCCCCUCAGUGAUAAAAUAUCCCUGUGUGUGUCACAGGAAAUGAUAAUCACUGCUUUCCAAGACUGCAGAACACAAUGAGAUUUCUGAGCUACAAACAGACUUCAAUUAUUCUUGAAAGACAGACAGACCCUCAAACUGACACAACUGGAGAAAAUAAAUAUCCUUUUGUCUGCACUGCUGGUGGUAAUUUCCCAUUAGACAGGAAAAGGCUUCUUUGAUGAAUGAAUAUUGUCUACACUUUAGAAGAGGAGCUACUGUAUAUCUCCUAAUAGCUAUUGCAUGCUUGGGCUCAGCCCUGUGUGAGGCCCUUAAACCCCUUGGGUACAAUAUGGUAGCAUUCAUUAGCAUGCUGCCUUUUUUAUUGCAGCACUUGAGAAAAGGAUAGUGCAUGUUAAAAUAAAUUUGAACAGCUUUCCACUCACCUUGAAGUUAUAUGGCAAGAGCGAGAUAUUUAGCAAUCUGCCUUCUUGGGCUGCAGACAGUCCUUUCCAGUCUAGAGGCUUCAGAAGAAACACUCACACUGGAGACAUAUUUUCCAUUUGUGAUUAUUCUUGUAAUUUUAGCAGUUAAUCACUUUUCUGUCUUGUAUUUACUUUGUUUUUCUACAGUGGUAAGUAAAUCAAAACCAUACCAUCACCCAGAACUACACUGAGCACUAUUUACAUAAGCCAAAGAAUAUCAUGUUAGUGCCUUUGACAAACUUUUGUCUUUUUCAAAGAUCACCAGGUCUCACAUAAUUGUCUUCUCACAGAAAUAUAAUAACCAUACUAACCAUCCCUUUCAGAGCAGUGUCCCAUUUCCACCUGUCACAUUUCCUGACACUGGUCUUGGAUUAAGCUUGGCUUAGAGAUGCCUGGGUCACCCACAGAGUCCUUUCUGCUGCUGAGAUUAAAAAACCCAAACAACAAAACUCCCAACAUUAAGAAAAAGAAGCAGAAGAGCUACCGAUGAGAAAUGGUCUGGAUUUGCCACUCGACAGUGGCACCAGUCUGCACACAAGCCAGCUGCAGGCAGAGAUCCGGC
Long non-coding RNA from Prinia subflava (tawny-flanked prinia), 6216 nucleotides. RefSeq lists it as uncharacterized. The record is from RefSeq and is a predicted model, not a curated record. The transcript has 3 exons. NCBI's taxonomy places the organism in Eukaryota, Metazoa, Chordata, Aves, Passeriformes, Cisticolidae.